CCCUUAGAUGUCCUGGGCCGCACGCGCGCUACACUGACAUGCUCAACAAGCCUCCUAGUUCGACAGGAUUUGGGAAAUCUUUGAACGCAUGUCGUGAUAGGGAUAGAUCAUUGCAAUUAUUGAUCUUGAACGAGGAAUUCCUAGUAAACGCGAGUCAUCAGCUCGCAUUGAUUACGUCCCUGCCCUUUGUACACACCGCCCGUCGCACCUACCGAUUGAAUGUUUCGGUGAAGAUUCCGGAUAGGACUUUUUUGAUUUAUUUCAAUUUUGUCUUAAAAGCUAUCUAAACCUCAACAUUUAGAGGAAGGUGAAGUCGUAACA
Molecule: ribosomal RNA, 321 nt
Filed under: uncultured eukaryote
Lineage: Eukaryota
Description: partial 18S ribosomal RNA
Rfam family: Eukaryotic small subunit ribosomal RNA
Source: RNAcentral